This 337-nucleotide unclassified non-coding RNA is filed under the name soil metagenome. RNAcentral describes it as "partial contains 5.8S ribosomal RNA, internal transcribed spacer 2, and large subunit ribosomal RNA". The stretch from base 1 to 120 matches the Rfam family "5.8S ribosomal RNA", at positions 35 to 154 of the family's 154-position model. The record is from RNAcentral.
GAUGAAGAACGCAGCGAAAUGCGAUAAGUAGUGUGAAUUGCAGAAUUCAGUGAAUCAUCGAAUCUUUGAACGCACAUUGCGCCCUUCGGUAUUCCAUGGGGCAUGCCUGUUCGAGCGUCAUUUGUACCUUCAAGCUCUGCUUGGUGUUGGGUGUUUGUCUCGCCUCUGCGUGUAGACUCGCCUUAAAACAAUUGGCAGCCGGCGUAUUGAUUUCGGAGCGCAGUACAUCUCGCGCUUUGCACUCAUAACGACGACGUCCAAAAGUACAUUUUUACACUCUUGACCUCGGAUCAGGUAGGGAUACCCGCUGAACUUAAGCAUAUCAAUAAGCGGAGGA